Molecule: ribosomal RNA, 253 nt
Filed under: uncultured bacterium
Lineage: Bacteria
Description: partial 16S ribosomal RNA
Rfam family: Bacterial small subunit ribosomal RNA
Source: RNAcentral
UACAGAGGUCUCAAGCGUUGUUCGGAUUCAUUGGGCGUAAAGGGUGCGUAGGCGGCGCGGUAAGUCGGGUGUGAAAUCUCGGAGCUUAACUCCGAAACUGCAUUCGAUACUGCCGUGCUUGAGGACUGGAGAGGAGACUGGAAUUUACGGUGUAGCGGUGAAAUGCGUAGAUAUCGGAAGGAACGCCGGUGGCGAAAGCGACGUGCUGGACCCCUUCUGACGCUGAGGCACGAAAGCUAGGGGAGCAAACAGG